This 266-nucleotide ribosomal RNA is filed under the name uncultured prokaryote. Its description in RNAcentral is "partial 16S ribosomal RNA". It matches the Rfam family "Bacterial small subunit ribosomal RNA", at positions 526 to 792 of the family's 1533-position model. The record is from RNAcentral.
CGUAUGGGGCAAGCGUUAUCCGGAAUUAUUGGGCGUAAAGAGUGCGUAGGUGGUUACCUAAGCGCAAGGUUUAAUCUUGAGGCUCAACCUCAUUCUGCCUUGCGAACUGGGCUACUUGAGUGCAGGAGGGGAAAGCGGAAUUCCCAGUGUAGCGGUGAAAUGCGUAGAUAUUGGGAAGAACACCGGUGGCGAAGGCGACUUGCUGGGCAGCAACUGACGCUGAGGCGCGAAAGCGUGGGGAGCAAACAGGAUUAGAUACCCUGGUA